Molecule: non-coding RNA, 146 nt
Organism: Homo sapiens (human)
Lineage: Eukaryota; Metazoa; Chordata; Mammalia; Primates; Hominidae
Rfam family: Metazoan signal recognition particle RNA
About the family: The signal recognition particle (SRP) is a universally conserved ribonucleoprotein. It is involved in the co-translational targeting of proteins to membranes.
Source: Rfam
GCCAGGCAUGGUGGUGCAUACUUGUAGUCCCAGCUACUGAGGAGGCUGAGGUGGGAGAAUUGCUUGAGCCCAGGAGCUCAAGGCUGCAGUGAGCUGUGAUCUCCACUGCACUCUAGCCUGGGCAACAGAGCAAGACCCUGUCUCAA